GAUGAACGCUAGCGGCAGGCUUAAUACAUGCAAGUCGAACGGGAUUCGAGGUAGCAAUACUUUGAUGAGAGUGGCGCACGGGUGCGUAACGCGUAUGCAACCUACCUUUAACAGGUGAAUAGCCCCGAGAAAUCGGGAUUAAUACACCGUAACAUUGCGAAGUGGCAUCACUAUGCAAUUAAAGAUUUAUCGGUUAAAGAUGGGCAUGCGUGACAUUAGCUAGUUGGUGAGGUAACGGCUCACCAAGGCCACGAUGUCUAGGGGUCCUGAGAGGGUUA
Molecule: ribosomal RNA, 278 nt
Filed under: uncultured bacterium
Lineage: Bacteria
Description: partial 16S ribosomal RNA
Rfam family: Bacterial small subunit ribosomal RNA
Source: RNAcentral